Long non-coding RNA from Varanus komodoensis (Komodo dragon), 575 nucleotides. RefSeq lists it as uncharacterized. The transcript has 3 exons. The record is from RefSeq and is a predicted model, not a curated record. NCBI's taxonomy places the organism in Eukaryota, Metazoa, Chordata, Lepidosauria, Squamata, Varanidae.
AGGCAGGAUUCUUCCCUUGCCCCACCUGCAGAUCCCACCUGACCCUUUCUGUGUGCAAACAACCUGCUUUGCCGCCAACUCACAGCCCGCCUUUGUUUCUGCCUUCACAGAACCUUUGGGACAUCGCUGUUGUUCAAAGGGACAAAUUGAUCCUGGACAUGCCUACCAGGGCUGCAUGCCAGCAGCAGAUAAGCUGCCAAGUGCCUGAAGACUGUGAUAGCUAAAGCCCACUCACAGACACGCAUGCUCCCGUUGCCUGCCCACUGCUGAAAUUGGGCUUAAAAAAGAAAAAAAAGUACCCUAACUACAGUGCGGGAGAUGUGAGUUUUGUUUUGGUUCAGGUUUUAUUUGAGGUUCUAUGACAUAUUGAAAAGGCUCUCUUUUUAAAGGCCAGAGCUGCAAGUUAUUCCUGGAAACAAUUCUGUGUAGCAAUGAAUGAGAAAGAACAAAAAAGAAGGCAACAAUGGCAAUUUGCAAAAACACAGGGUAGGUGGGUGGAUAAAUUCAGCCAUGUGUACAAUGGAAAUGAGAUUUUCAGACUAUAGACCAGCACUAUGAGAACUUAAUGAUUUAUU